AUACGUAGGGGGCGAGCGUUGUCCGGAAUGAUUGGGCGUAAAGGGCGCGUAGGCGGCCCGGUAAGUCUGGAGUGAAAGUCCUGUUUUUAAGAUGGGAAUUGCUUUGGAUACUGUCGGGCUUGAGUGCAGGAGAGGUAAGUGGAAUUCCCAGUGUAGCGGUGAAAUGCGUAGAGAUUGGGAGGAACACCAAUGGCGAAGGCGACUUACUGGACUGUAACUGACGCUGAGGCGCGAAAGUGUGGGGAGCAAACAGGAUUAGAUACCCUGGUAGUCCACACUGUAAACGAUGAAUGCUAGGUGUAGGGGGUAUCGACCCCUUCUGUGCCGCAGUCAACACAAUAAGCAUUCCGCCUGGGGAGUACGGCCGCAAGGUUGAAACUCAAAUGAAUUGACGGGG
RNAcentral lists this ribosomal RNA (397 nucleotides) under uncultured bacterium. RNAcentral's name for it is "partial 16S ribosomal RNA". It matches the Rfam family "Bacterial small subunit ribosomal RNA", at positions 523 to 918 of the family's 1533-position model. The record is from RNAcentral.